RNAcentral lists this long non-coding RNA (10385 nucleotides) under Lynx pardinus (Iberian lynx). Lineage: Eukaryota; Metazoa; Chordata; Mammalia; Carnivora; Felidae. The record is from RNAcentral.
CCGUUUGUUAAAGGAAUGCCGGCUACAGCAUUCAAGAGAGCCAUUCCUUGACAAAGAAAAGAGAUAAAUGUAAAUAAGCUCAUAUUUUCAGAAGGAGCGGUUUGUUUUAAGACGCUUCGGUAGCCCAGAGUCUGUUACUUUGGGCUGGGCUAACCUUUCCCUGUUUAAAAAAAAAAAACAAAACAAAACAAAAACAAAAACAAAAACAAAAACUAAAAUAUGCACUUUUAAAGUGCAAGUUGCCCAUUUACAUGUUUAUUAGCUAAUUGUCUACAGGCAUGAGCACAUUCUUUCAUCUUGCACACUCUUUUUUGGGGUAAGUCUCUUCGAGCAAGAUUUGAUUUGGGUGUUUGGGGGAUGGGGGUGGCAUAACAAACUUCAGCAGAAACACUGAUACUUUGAGUGUUUGGGGAAAGAAGUUAGAUUUCAACUCUGAAGUGCUGAAUAAGGAUCGUAGCGUUGAAUUGUUUAAAACAAGCAAGAAUUUCUACUGUUAUGGCAAUAAUAUUGUUUCAGUGGAAGAGAUACUGUAUUUUCAAGCUGUUGUUUCAUGUAAACACAGUUGCCCUGAAGAGCAUAUUUAAAAUCACAGAGUAAUUUAGAAAUUCUUUUGGCUAGCUUUAUAUUUCUUUGGUUUACAAUUGAUUGUGAGCUAAUGUGGUUUCUAUUAUGAUGCGGUUUCUUCUAGUAAAACUAUCUGUGAUGGUAUGCCUUUGAUGUUUAAUUGAUUUAUGGAAAAUGUGACAUUUGCUGUACUGAAUAAUUCAUGAGCUUGACCAUAAAAGAAGAGACAUGUUUAAAUGCAAAACUAAUUCUGGCAUAAAUUAAAUUUGCUAUUAUAUGUGAAAUUAAUCACUGUUUUCCAUACAAAUGCAAUAAAGUGACAUUUAAAACUCUAUUUUUGUAUAUGUUGGAUAUUUUAAAGAUUUUUAGCAACGAGAUCUUGUUGAAUUGAUAAAUAUUGUGUUUUAGUUACCUUGCUUUAGGAAAUACAGCAGUGUAAUUCAUUAUUAUUCCAGCACAGAAAAGACUAGAUGAAUCUGAAGAUUAGAACAUUCAGAGAUUCAUGGAGUUAUUUACUUUGCUACCUUACCAAAUUAUACAUAUUUCUUUUUAUUUGAGUAACAUAAAGACAACAAUAAUAGCCUAAGCUCCAAAUUAUCCAGUGUCUUUGAAACAUGUUUAUUUUUCAGAACAAAAUUCCAAACAUACCCCAUUAAUAUAGAUUAUAAAUCUUUUUGCCAUGUCACAGAUGAAAAGUUGCACUCUUGCUAAAAAGGAUGAGUUCAGCUGAUACACUUGAUGGCAUCUACACUCUAAAGCAUUUCCUGCCAAUCAGAGAUGUGAAUGAAAGCCCUACUGGAACAAUCAGACUAGCCUUUCAGAGUUUGUACUAUGUGAGUUCAAGAGAGGAAUGGGAAGAUGCUUUCAGGAACACUCAGGCAAGCUUAGCUAAAUCUUUGUUUAUUCCAUUUACUUUGAGAAAAAAAUACAGUGAGAAUUGUUGCCCUUGCUGUGGUGUGGUCAGGGCCUAAUUGUGUAGUUGUCUUUUUUUUUUUUUUUUAUUGUGUGUAUGGUCAUCAUCUAUAGUCUUAUCUUGGCCUUCCUAAGGGGAGGGGAAAAACCUAUAAUAUAUUUGUGAAUAUUAGUACUGAAAAUUGGGAGAUUAAUAGGAGGUCACCUACCACUGGGAAUCCAGCCUCACUUUUAGUAGGUAAGUAAUUUGUUACUAGAACAAUGGAUAGGGUAAGCAGUCUACUAAUUCUGUCAUUAUGUUCUGAAGUACUUUGACAACCUUAUAUUUUGAGGAGAGAUGUGACUGGGGAAUAGGUGGAAAAGGUUGAGGAUUAAAAUCUAUACAAUUGAACCAAUAUGUCUGCUGAUAUGGGCACAAAGGGGAUGAGGAAAAAGAGGGUAUUAGGAAGACUUUAGGAUAUAAUGACGUCUUGAUCUGUGAUUCUUUGCAUCUGGCACUAACUAAUAAUAUUUAUUUCUGAUAUUAAAAUAAAUCUCAACUAUGUAUGGUAACACAUGUUAGCUAGACUUAUUGUGGUGAUAAUUUUGCAAUAUUUACAAAUUUUGAAUAAUUAUGUUGUAUACCCGAUACUAAUACAAUGUUGUAUGCCAGUUAUACUUCAAUUAAAAUAAAUAAAUCUAGCAAUAAUUUCAUUGAAUCUAAUAAAAUUAAUUUCCUUUAUCUCAGACUUUGAGAAAUUAUUAUUACCUUUUUGCAUUAACAAAUAGGAACAAAUGCAAACACCUGAUAGGAGAGAAUAGCCAGUGAGGCCGCUGCCUUAGCAUCAGUUGAAGACUGCUGUCAAUCAAAGCCAAAGGUGGAAGGAGAAUAGAAACUGAGGUCCAAAAAGGGACUGCAACUUGCUCUCACAUAGUUAGUAAUGGGGCUGGAUGUAGCCAUAUUGAAUUAAUAGAAAGUAUGGAAACUUCUGGGUAUUUGAACUUCCUAGUUUGCUUGUAUUCCAAAUAAAAAUAAGUUUUCUUCAUAAUCUGUUUCUAUUGUUAAAGCCAUAAAAGAAAGGAAUGCUAAUGUUUUUGUCUUAUGAUGAAACCAUAAAAUGAUGUUCAUUUCAUUUCAAAAGUACUGUUUUCUAGAGGAGUGUGAAAAAUCAAUUCUCCUUAAUAUUAAGGUGAUCUCAAAUAUAUUUUAGAUUGCCUAAUGACUGUGGUUUUUUGUUUUGGUUAUCUUAGAUCAUAGAAAAAUCAUUUUAGGGGAGUGGGGUAUUAUUUACCAGUCUGCUUUGUUUAGGCCACUUCUGUUCAGAAGAGGGUGAGAUGUGACAAUGGUGUAAGUUUGGCACUGGCAGAUGGUUCUAUUUUACAGGCGGUAAAUGAAUAGUGUUCAACUGCAGGUGGUAUUGGUAAGAAUUCCACUGUUGAGUAUUUCUAGUUCUAUGCCAGUACUUUGGGCAGAGCUGUGAUUUGAAGGUAUUACAGAACAUGCUAGGCCUAGGACAUCCUAGUAGGAGCAGCAAUGAUUGUCAGUGUGCUAAUACCCAGCAAUUGAAGCCUUGCUUAUAUUACUGUAGUUCAGGGGAGAAAGACAUCCAGCUGGGGUGGGGGUGCACGUUAGAGCCAAGGCAAUGUGGUCUCCACCUUUGUUUCAGUCUUCUUUCAUUUUCCUCUAUCAAGGCCCCUGUCCAGUAGUAACAGGUUUUGCCAGACAAAAAAAAAAAGAAAAGAAAAAAAACAAAGAACCAAUAUAAUUUCAGGGCAAAAAAUAUAAAUCUCCUUUGUUCAAUUAUUUUUUAAUGUAACGUAUUACCUUAUGGAAGUGGACGAAGUAUUUUAUGCCUUUUGUCACUAGUUAUCUUUAAUGAUUAUAGGUUAUACAGACUCAUGGAAUUUGUGCUUGUCACUAUAACUAAUGAAAUGUGGCUCAUCAGUGACAGGUUUGAAAAAUAAAAUGUUAUCUGCAAUUCUGUAAUAAUAAAAUCUGAAACAUUUAGGUACCACUUUAAAAUAUGUUAGCUUUAAUUUACUCUGGUUUAUAUCAUAUAAUAAAUUUCUUUACCUUAUAAUCUUUGUAUACAUUUAUUGGUAAGGUCUCUCCAUGGCACACUAUUGUGACUAAUUCUGUUUCACAGCAUUCAUUGGAGGAAAUUCCUAACAAUUGGUGCCAGAAUUUUGUUUGAACUGAUAUGGUGAGGACCACUCUCCUGGUAAUAACUUUCUCCAAAUUCUUAAUUACAUUCUGCAACUUUUUUUGUGUGUAUAAUCAGUACUUCCAAUUUAUUAUAGAUGAUAAGACCCAAAACCCCAGAAUAAAUGGAGGUGUUGUAAUCAUUCAUUGUAAUUCAGACAAUUUUGGUGUAGAUGUAUAUUGAUCCUUUGGUUUAAGCCCUCUAUGCCAUUGGUAUAUACCUUUAGAUUAUGGGAGACAUAGUUUUUAUUCAUAUUAUCAAAAUCAGUAUCCAAGUAUGUCAGAUGAAUUGGUAUGCAAAUUAAUAACUAAUUUGCCUGUUUAAAUAUGUGUAAUAAAGCCAAAUUCCCAGUUGGCAUGUAUGAAACUUACAGAUUUUGGAAAUGAACAUCCACAAUUUUUCCCAAAAGGCCUGGGGCUUCUCUGAGAUGAUAUUGAAUCUCAAGACUCUAGACAAUUUCAUAAUAUUAGGUUGAGCAAUUUCUCUGCAGUUGUUUUAUUCUAUAACUAUUAGGGAAAAUUCUACUUUAGUAGGGUUGAUGCAAUCUUUGGCCCCAUCGUGUUGAGCACUAAACAAUAUUAUUUUUCAAAGAGUAGACCGUGUCAUCAAAUGAAAGAUUAGUGAGAGACUGGAUUUAAUUGGAUGUGUCAAGUUAAUCACUGAGGAUAGGCUCUGCUCUGAUUAGGACCUGUGUCAAUUUCCUGCUCUUCUCAAAUAAAGUGAGGAAGCAAAACAGUCAUAAUAAUCUCAGUGCAAAUCAAAGUCAACAUAGAGAAAUGAUUUUUAAAAGGAUAAUUCUUGCAUCAAAAAUAAAUGGGGACACCUAGAUGAUUUAGUCAGUUAAGCGUCCGACUUUUGAUUUCAGCUCAGGUCAUGAUCUCACGGUCCUGAGAUUGAGCCCGGGCCAUGGGGCUCCAUGCUGGGCAUGGAGCCUGCUUUAGAUUCUCUCUCUUCCUCUCAUUGUUCCCCUCCCCACCCAAGAAAAAAAAAUAAAUGAUGCUUAUCAAUCUAAUCAUUUGACACACAGUUUGGCUUGCUUAACAUGAGACCUGAUAGAGAUCAAUUUCCCAGCUCAGUUCUGGAGUAAAAUAUUUACUUAUGGUUUCCUCCAUAUGUAAUGCCAUAAGACUAACUUGUAUUUUAAAAACUAUUAUGAACCAUCAACCAGUGCAUAGGAACAUCAAUUAGAAUCAUGUGUAUGAUCAUGACCUGUUCCUGUGACUUGGUCUUAUCUGUUAGCAGCCACUCUCAUCUGAGAAGCAACAGUGUGGACAUAUUCCCUAUUACUCCAGGAGAAUGGUUUUGAUCUAUAUUUUUGUGACAUUUUUGUAUUUUCUACUUUGCUUCACUGCUAGUUAUUUAUAGGCAAGGACACAAUAGGUUUUAGCUUCCUCUGAAAACUAUUGUGUCAAUGUUCCUAAGCUUUCACCAGAGGAGAAAGAGGAAAUUCUCAGGGGAUCAGAAGCACUCUGAUCUGAUCCAAGCUCAUUAAAAAAGGAGCAAGGUAAGAGAAUAUAGGUAUACUCUACCUCCAAGGCCUUAUUUUCCUAUGCUAUGGACUAUCUUCUGUAGUGAACAAAAGCAAGCUAGUCUUUCUAGGCUACUGGGAAUGUGCCAGAAGUUAGAACUUUGUUUUGAAUGUAUCAUCUGAAAGUUUAGCAUUUAGUGAAGUGAUUUCAGUGUUCAUGUUUAUAGGGUCAAAAAGCUAGCUCCCUUCCUCUAGGAGUGCCAAAGUUCCCAAACAUGGCAUAUUACAUCAUUAUUAGAUGUUAAAAAAAAAUGGUCACAUUACUGUGAACUGUUUGAAUUGGCUCCAUAUGUGUAUGUCAAAUUUAAAAUUUCAUUGAGGGUCAGAUUUCCCUUUGGUCAACCUCCAGGUGAUCUGCCUCCUAACCAUGGUCAGUGAAAAUGCAUCCGCCCUGCACUCUGAACUCCCUAGGUGAUUAAUUAUUGGAAUGAUUGGAUGCAAAAUUCUUUACAAGAAAAUAGCCACAUGCUACUUGCAGUAGAAUAUGUAAUUAACUGCAUCAGCCUAUAUUUUCUCUUCCUCAUCUCAUCUGAAGCUUGUGUUGGCCCUUUGCCUUCAUUCAGUGCACAAUAUGUUGGCCAUUUGUGAAAAUCUAAUGGUUAAAAAACAGUUUCUUUUAGUCAAAAGGAAGACAGUCAGAAGAGACCUUGUCUUUUGAAUAUCAUUGAUUCUUCUUCAGAAUCAGCUUGAAAGCCAAAUGCCUCUCUGAUAUUUUUUAACCAUAGCUCAUUGAAAAAUAGUCCUUUUGAGGGCACCCUCCUGGAUUGUCCUAUUUAUGACAAAAUUGUGUAAAGGUUGAAACUCUCAGGGGGCUUUCUGACAUAUAAGGUAUAUAUGGUGUUAGGAGAAAGAUGUGUUGCUUAGUAAGUUCAGUUUACUAAGAAAGACAGAGACAUAGGUGUCCAGUUGGAUAGGAAAGGAAAAAAUCUUCUAUAAUGUUUCUUUGUGAUUAGGUAGGACUGGAUACUGGCAAGCUUAAGGCCUGUUGAAUCUUCUUAGCCUUGGUUGUGAGGCUCAGAGGUAAUGUUUAUACAGGGAAGAGAAACAGUAUAGUCAAGUUACAGAGUGAACUAGUGUCUGAGUCAGAAAUAAAACUCCUUGCUUCCAAUACUGUGUUAAUUCCCAACACCACACCCUCACUGCUAGACAGAAAAGGUGCUAUGUGUUCAAGCAAAGGAAAUUUAUGAAUAGAGCCUUAGUGGCAGUUUUCCCAUGCCCUGUCUUCAGGAUUGAGACUGAAAUGCUUUCUUGUUUGUGGUCCUUUCUCUCCCACAGGAUUUGGUUACUCAAAGCACCAAAGUAGAAGUGCCAGACUGCCUGUUGUUGGUAUAGUGUAUGUGUGCUGAGAGACAUAAAACUGAAUGGAAAACUAGGGAGACAAAUUUCAACUAUUUGAAACACACCAUCUUGGGAAGUAGAAAAUAAUAAAAAGCCAGUGAGCUAGAAGAAUGCUGUGUAAAAAAAGAUAUCAGUGGGCAGAGUGUAGGGACUCUGGGAAUAGUUGAAAAGGCAUCUAUUAUGAAAGCAGUUUCCAAAUAAUAUUUUUGGCCUUACUUAUUGCAGAAGGCAGGUGCAAGCAGAUUAUAGUAAAUGAAGCUUGGGUUUAAUAUUAGGGAUUUUUCAGUCCUUUAAUUUAUUUAGAUUGUGUAAAUUUAUGAUAGAGGAAUAUUUUUGACUAACUGGAUUUCUUUCAACAAUGAAAAAAAAAAGGCCUCCAGACUAAUGCGUAGUGAGUGGGGAUGUUAAAAAUAGUAUACAAAGUGGUUUAAGCAGUUGAGAAGUUUUCCAUUUAUUUUUGUUUCUAUCACAUUGGUGAAACAAUCUGCAGAAACUUGGGUCUAUAGUUCCCAAAGUGAGAUAUGAACCCCAAUGACAGAUUUUUUCAGGCUUUUCCUGUUUUUGCUGAUCAGCUUCAGUGACUUUAAACAUAGUGAUUGCAUACAGUUCUUUAUGAGAAAACUGGAAGGAGUUAGAUGAAGCAAAGUAGUAUAGAGGAUGGGAUUUGAGGAAUUGUGAGCCAGAAAUAUCUCCCAAGGUCCUAAAUACAAAUUAGAUGACAGCACUGACCUCUACCCAGCAAGGUCUUUUUUCUUUUAUCUUUUUUUAUUCUUUAAAUUCUUGUUUUAAUUUCCUUGCUACUUUCCCAUUUCCUCUUUUGCUCUCCUCACCUAUUUAUAUUUGUCCACUGUCUGUUUCUUCCCAUUCUGGACCUUACUUGGUCAAGGUUCCUACUAUACUUUGCUUUUACAUAUCAAGGUUGAUUGUGGCAAGAGUUGAGCUGGGCCUGUGAGAUGAAAUAGCCAAGAAAUAAUAUGAUCUUAGUGCAGUGUUAGGCUCAGGGGGUGGGGAGGGGGAAGACACUCCAUAAAGAUUUUUUGAGUGAGAAUUCAAUAAUAACAAGUUUCCAAUCUUAACUUGAGAACUUUUUUUUUUUUUAAUUUUUUUUUUCAACGUUUAUUUAUUUUUGGGACAGAGAGAGACAGAGCAUGAACGGGGGAGGGGCAGAGAGAGAGGGAGACACAGAAUCGGAAACAGGCUCCAGGCUCUGAGCCAUCAGCCCAGAGCCCGACGCGGGGCUCGAACUCACGGACCGCGAGAUCAUGACCUGGCUGAAGUCCGACGCUUAACCGACUGCGCCACCCAGGCGCCCCAAGAGAACUUUUGCAAUUAAAAAAUGACAACUUUUUGAUUCAUAUCCCAUAAGUCAUCUCGUCAAGGUCAUCUCUUCCUCUAGGCACUGCAGUCAGUGAGUGUUUUUUUUUUUUCCCCCCAAAUCAGUUUUUUCUCAGUGCAAACACUGGUUCAAGUAACUUCAGGCUUCUGCAUCUCUGGCAGAUUCCUGCCUCCACUCCAUUUUCUGUUAUAUAAAAUAGCCCUUUGAUCUGUUCCUUGGGAGUUAGAAGGAAAGAGUAAUGUAAGGAGAAACCACUUCAGAUAAAUGCCUUUCAAUUAAAAAAAUAUAUAAUCCUGUGUACAGCAGCACUUUCAACAAUAGCCAAAUUAUGGAAAGAGCCUAAAUGUCCAUCAACUGAUGAAUGGAUAAAGAAGAUGUAGUUUACAUAUACAAUGGAAUACUGCUUGGCAAUGGGAAAGAAUGAAAUCUGGCCAUUUGCAGCAAUGUGGAUGGAACUGGAGGGUAUUAUGCUAAGUGAAAUAAGUUAGGCAGAGAAAGAUACCAUAUGUUUUCACUCAUAUGUGGAUCCUAAGAAACUUAAGACCAUGGGGGAGGGGAAGGGAAUAAAAAAAGUUACAGAGAGGGAGGGAGGAAAACCAUAAAAGACUCUUAAGGACUGAGAACAAACAGAGGGUUGGGGGGUGGGGAGAGGGGAAAGUGGGUGAUGGGCAUGGAGGAGGGUACUUGUUGGGAUGAGCAUUGGAUGUUACAUGGAACAAAUUUGACAAUAAAUUAUAUUUAAAAAAAUAAAAUAAAAUAAAAUAAAAUAAAAAAUAUAAUCAUGUGAAAAUCCAUUAUUGAACAUGUCAGGGAGCAAAGACCACUUUUAUUGCAUAUCCUCCUCAUUGAAAAGAAUUGCCCAUUUUGCAUUAUAGAGAAUUCAAAAGGCUGUUCCUAUCAAAUGACAGCUACUAACCAAGAAAUUUAGAAAGACUUCUAUAUGCACCUCUGAGCAAUGUUGGCCCAGAUACUAAAAAAAAUAAAAAAAUAAAAAAAAAAUGGUUAAGUUAAUGACUGCCAUAUGUAUAAGCAGGGGCAAUCAAAGGGCAUGUAACUGGUCAGAUCAGAAGUUUACAGUGUGGUAGAGGAAUGGGCAUUUAUGUCAAAUCUACCUUUCACACUUCACUUAUAUUCAGCCAGAGAAGGUUCCAUUGAUUAAGGCCGUUUUAGGAGCUGAAGGCAUGAAAGUAACUGAUGGAAUGGGAGGGGGAUAAGAAGACAUCCUAAGCUAAGCAUUUAGCUUGAGAGAGAUUUGGAAAGGGGACUACAAUCUGCAAGAGGGAAACUCUGAGAUUAUUUGAAUUAUUGCUCUAGAAAGACAAUGUAAUACAGUGAAAAAUCUUUUCACCAGAAGCUUUAAUUAACUGAGGAAUCCAUGCUCUCUGAAUUCAUGUUUUAGAAGAAAAAGAUGAAUUGAUUAUUUACUUCAAUAAUUUAGUCAGAGGGGCACCUGGGUGGCUCAGUCAAUUGAGAGUCCGGCUCUUGAUUUUGACUCAGGUCAUCAUCUCACGGUUCGUGGGAUCACUUCUGGCUUUGUGCUUACAGUGCGGAGCCUGCUUGGGAUUCUCUAUCCCUCUCUCUCUGCCUCUCCCUUGCUCUUCCUCUCAAAUAAAUAAAUAAACAUUAAAAAAUAAGCUUAGUUAAAACUUUUUUAAGGGCAUGUCCUGGAGGUCCCAUAUCGACCUGUAGUCUUGUGCAAUAGAACUAAUAAUUAGACAAUAAGGUUUACUAAUAUUAGAAAAGAAACAAAAUAAUUUAGAUUAGUUUAACAAUUCUUUGGUUAUGAAUAAAAAAGGUGAAUUCUGGUUCUGAUGGUACCAUUUACACAUUCUCCUAAUUCUGACAUCAUAAUUCUAAAUUACAUAAGCCUCAGUUUCUUCUUCUAUAAUAUGGUGAUAAAUUCUUGUCUUCCUACCUUAUGAUGUUCUUGUGGGAAUCAAAUAAAACACAUUUUUGAAAGUUAAAAAAUUCCAUAAAAAUUUCAAACUAUUAGUGUUGUUUUAAUUAUCAAAGGCCCAUUUCCCCACCUCCAUCCCCCAUCCCUGCUUGGGCUCUCAUGUAGACAAUAUCUUAUUUCUGUUCAUUGCAAUGCUACAUACAGUACUGCAUUUGUUAUAUUGUGUGUGAUCUCUCCCAAUCUUGCAACAUAUUCCUGUAGUACCUUUUAACAUAUUGUAGGUGCUCAAAAGGUACUUGUCAAACCAAAUUGAAUGUGUAUAUUGUUUCCAGUCUGGGUGAACAAAAUAUCUUUUACUCCACAGAAAUGAAUGGAAGGCAGAUUUGAUUAUUCAUUCCAUCUUGUCUCCCAUAGGAGGAAAAUAUUUCUUACCAGUCUCUAGUCUCAAAGUGGUGAACCCUGCAGGCAGCAGGCCUUCUGAAAAAAAUCCAUGGGUGACAGAAGAUUCAUUGACUUUCAAUUUCAAGAUUUAAAUUCAAGCUUCAGACCCAGGUUGGGCAAUGCUACUGCCAAUAAUACUUGCAUUGUUGAUGAUUCCUUCAAGUAUAAUCUGAAUGGUGCUGUCUA